Molecule: non-coding RNA, 771 nt
Filed under: Lethe marginalis
Lineage: Eukaryota; Metazoa; Arthropoda; Insecta; Lepidoptera; Nymphalidae
Source: RNAcentral
AAUUUUUAUGUUUUAUAAAAUUUAUUAUGAAUUUAUUUUACAUAUAAAUUUUAGUAUAAAAUUUUAAUUAUUUUAAAAAUAAAUUAAUUUUAAGUGUUAUAGUAAUUUAAAUUAAAAAUUUAAGAAAUUAAGAUUUAGUAAUAUAAAAAUUAAUAACUAAUUUUGUGCCAGCAGUUGCGGUUAUACAAAAAUUAAAUUAAAUUAUUUCAGUAUUUAAUAAAUAAAAUAUAAUUAAAAUAAAUAUUAAAUUAUUAGGUGAAAUUUUAAUUUAAUUAAAUUUUAAAUUAAUUUUAUGAUUUAAUAAAUUUAAUAAUAAACUAGGAUUAGAUACCCUAUUAUUAAAAAUUUAACUAAUAAUACUAAAAUAGUAGAUAAUAAAUAUUGAAACUUAAAUAAUAUGGCGGUAUUUUAGUUCAUUUAGAGGAAUCUGUUUAAUAAUUGAUAAUCCACGAAUAAAUUUACUUAAUUUAAUAUUUUAUAUAUCGUUGUUAAAAAAAUAUUUUAUUAUAAAAAUAAUAUUUUAAAAUUUUAAAAGUAAAUUAAUUCAGAUCAAGAUGUAGAUUAUAAUUAAGAAUAUAAUGGAUUACAAUAAAAUAAUUUAAAUGAAUAAUUAAUUUUAAAAUUAAUUUGAAGGUGGAUUUAAAUGUAAUUUUAAUUAAUUUAUUAAAAUGAUUAAAAAUUGAAAUAUGUACAUAUUGCCCGUCACUUUCAUUUAAAAAUUGAAAUAAGUCGUAACAAAGUAGAAGUACUGGAAAGUGUUUCUAGAAUGAA